This 459-nucleotide ribosomal RNA is filed under the name uncultured bacterium. Its description in RNAcentral is "partial 16S ribosomal RNA". It matches the Rfam family "Bacterial small subunit ribosomal RNA", at positions 338 to 795 of the family's 1533-position model. The record is from RNAcentral.
CCUACGGGUGGCAGCAGUGAGGAAUAUUGGUCAAUGGCCGGAAGGCUGAACCAGCCAAGCCGCGUGAAGGACGAAGGUGCCAAGCAUUGUAAACUUCUUUUGUCGGGGAACAAAGGGCGCCACGUGUGGCGUUGUGAGUGUACCCGAAGAAAAAGCAUCGGCUAACUCCGUGCCAGCAGCCGCGGUAAUACGGAGGAUGCUAGCGUUAUCCGGAUUUCUUGGGUUUAAGGGGUGCGUAGGCGGUCUGGAAAGUCAGCGGUAAAAGCUGGGGGCUCAACCCCGGCGAGCCGUUGAAACUGUCGGACUAGAGACGGCGAGAGGUACGCGGAAUGCGCGGUGUAGCGGUGAAAUGCAUAGAUAUCGCGCAGAACUCCGAUUGCGAAGGCAGCGUACCGGCGCCGGACUGACGCUGAGGCACAAAAGCGUGGGUAUCGAACAGGAUUAGAUACCCGAGUAGUC